Molecule: ribosomal RNA, 497 nt
Filed under: uncultured bacterium
Lineage: Bacteria
Description: partial 16S ribosomal RNA
Rfam family: Bacterial small subunit ribosomal RNA
Source: RNAcentral
GAUGAACGCUGGCGGCGUGCCUAAUACAUGCAAGUCGAGCGAACAGACGAGGAGCUUGCUCCUCUGACGUUAGCGGCGGACGGGUGAGUAACACGUGGAUAACCUACCUAUAAGACUGGGAUAACUUCGGGAAACCGGAGCUAAUACCGGAUAACAUGUUGAACCGCAUGGUUCAACAGUGAAAGACGGUCUUGCUGUCACUUAUAGAUGGAUCCGCGCCGCAUUAGCUAGUUGGUAAGGUAACGGCUUACCAAGGCAACGAUGCGUAGCCGACCUGAGAGGGUGAUCGGCCACACUGGAACUGAGACACGGCCCAGACUCCUACGGGAGGCAGCAGUAGGGAAUCUUCCGCAAUGGGCGAAAGCCUGACGGAGCAACGCCGCGUGAGUGAAGAAGGUCUUCGGAUCGUAAAACUCUGUUAUUAGGGAAGAACAAAUGUGUAAGUAACUAUGCACGUCUUGACGGUACCUAAUCAGAAAGCCACGGCUAACUACGUG